CAAUUUCAAAAAAGUCAUAUAUUCAUCAAAUGUAUAACUCAAAUAUUCAAAUAAAUUCAUAUUUCUGUAUCUAACAACAUCAAAUUCAUAAAAUAAAGAAUGAAAAUGAGUUUAUUUAAAUAUUUGAGUUAUAAAUUUGAUGAAAUGUGCAUUAUAUUGAAUGUGAUAAUUAAUUUUAUAGAUUUUGUUUGAAAAUUUUGAUGAAAUUUUUAUAAAAAAAAUGAUAAUAUUAUUGAUAUUUUAAAACAAUAAAAGAUCAAAUUGUUAUUUAAAAUUAAAUAAAACCUAAAUAAAAAAAAAUUAAUUAACUAAAAUGCUACCUAAAGUUAAGUUAAAAGAGUCUGCAGUACCAAUUAUACCUAUUAUACCAGUAAAUUAAUAAUAAUAGAGAAUACAAUGAGAGUCCUACCUUUUCAUAAUACUUGACAUGAUCAUUGAAGCAACGAAUGGUGGUAUACAAUGAUUUCUGAAAAUCAUCUGAUCCUUCAUCCAAUAGUUUCUGUUAAGAUGUAAGGGACACAAAUUUAAAUGAUAGAUUAUAGUAUCAAUUUCUUUUAUUGUUUUGCAAAGAAAAGGAAGAAAAAAAAAUAGUGUGUUAGCUCUUUUUUGUAUACCUUAGUGAUGGAACCACCAUGAGUCUCUCUAUAGCGAUUGAAAGUUGCAAUCAAUUGAGUCUUGCUCCUUGUAGUCAAGAUCCUGAUUGCUUCUUCAUGGCUACCUUUUUUCUCUUUCACAGACUCGUGAAGAAUUUCAGCUUCACUCUGAGCCAAUUUUGCAUUUAUCUCAUCACCAGUAUAUCUGUAUGAGGUCACUAGCCCCACCAAAAGCUGCUCAAUAUCAAAAACAAACUUAUCAAAAUCAGGGUUCUUAAAAAGGUCUUUAACAAAGAUAUGGGCCAAACAACAUCAAAGUUUUUGAAAUCUUCACUAAUGCAAUGUUCCUUCCAUUAAGGUAUACAAAAAUAAAAAUUUGCAUCAAAUCUUACAUCUUUUAAUCAGAAAUGAUCAGUAAAUUUCGAUAAAAAUUUGAGUUAAUUUGAAAAAGGACUUGCCUGGCGAAGAUGGCCUGAAGUAUGAAUAGCCAAAUCUUCUUCAAUGGAGUGCUUGUAGCGGUUGAUAUAGGCACGCCUCACAUUAAAGAGCUCUUCAGGGGAAAGAACAGAGGAAAUUUCCACAAUCACAUUGUAGUUUUUUCCACUCUUUAUAGCAACAUGGACCAAAACAGCGUCACGAUCAGCAGGCUCCAAUAUCCAACGGUACACAGCUUUCUGUUCAUUAAAAUAAAAUUUCAAAAUUUUACAUAUAUUAAUUUAAGAAAAUGAAUUAAUUGAAUGUUAUUUAUAAAAUUGACAAAAUUGACUUUGAUACUAAAUUACUAAUAUGCACCUCAAAAUCUCCUUUGAUCUCAGACUCCAAGCGUUUGACAAGAUCCUCAUGAUAAAUGUCCUCAUAAGAUUUUCUAAUUAAUUGUAUCUGAUGUGAGGUUCUGUGACCCAGUAUUGAUAUCACAGUGUUUUCAUCAGUUCCCCAUCCUACAAUAUUGAACAUAUAUAAUACAAUCAACUAAAUUUUGAGCACCCCAUUAUUUAAUUAAAGAUUACAUAAGAGUAUCAGAUUCAUAGAAAAAAAAAAGUAACAAAGUAUGCAAAUUAAAUAGCCAAAUCAGUAUGCAAAUUUGUCAACAACAAAAAUGAUGAUAGGGGAAGAUCACACCUUCAAAAGCCUUUCUGAGAGCUUCAGCAUCUUCUUGGGGAGUGUUAAUGCUAGGAGCAAUAACGGUAGACAUAGUUGAAUAUGUAUAUUGUCUAUAGUACUAAUUCUGAUGAUGUGAUGAAGAAACCUAUGUCCACAACUCUUCUAUUUAUAAUAGUUUGUGGUCUCAAUUAUAGAUAAAAAAAAACACAUAAUUAAAAAAAGUUGAUGUAUUUAAUUUUAAAUUUUGAAUUAAAUAUAUCAGAUUUUUUUUACUAAAUUUUGCUUAUAUUUGAGAUUAAGGUAGUAUAAUGUAGACAAUAAUAAAUAUUUGUCUCGUUGGAGACAAAUGAUAAAAUUAAAUCGAUACAGACACGAUAAAAAUGUAAAUAUUUAUUCUCUAAAUAGUCUUUGCACAACAACAAGACAUUUUUAUUGUUCGAUUAAUUUCACGUGUGAUUCCUCAUUAUCGUUUUUUAAUUUAAUAUAUAACGGUGAUUUUUAUAAGCUAGAUAUCAAAACAUUUAUUCAAUUGUCGAAACAAAUUAUCGAGAUUGAAUCUCAAUUCACCUAAAUUUUUCAAUAAAAUAAAAAGUAUAUAUGUUGUAAUUUUUCAAUUAAAAAAGUUGCAAAGUGAAAAAUAAUACAUUUUUUUAUUUUUGAAAAUCAAGAGACACAACGCCAAAUUUUUUAUUUAAAACACAAGAUUAGAGAAAAUUAUAUGCUCUAAUUCAUGCAUUGGAAAUAUCAUCUAUGGCUAAUAAAUAUUUUAUAUUUGGACAAUAAUUUAUUAUGUUUGUUUUUAUUUUCCUUUUGAGGUUGAACAGAUUCAGUUUUCAAGGCAAUUUGGCAGUAUAUGAAAAUCUGUAAACAACAGCAAUUAUUUUAUUUACAUUGGUGAUAUCACUGCCACGUAUUACCAUCAAAGUGAUCAGAGAGGAAAUCAAUGUCACGUGAUGGACGGUGAACCUUAGCCACUUUAUUAACAUUUAAAUGGAAAACUAUUCUAAAUUAAAACAUGGAAAUAAAGUGUACGAUACCUUGGAAAUUUCUGAAUUCCUCCUUAAAGGUUUAUGUUCACAUACUUUUUUUUUUUUAAUAUAUGUUCGUUUACAUUAUGAAAUGGUUUUCAGUGAAUAUUAUAAAUGGUAU
This 2843-nucleotide long non-coding RNA is filed under the name Cicer arietinum (chickpea). Its description in RNAcentral is "long non-coding RNA (CARI_LNC002460)". Lineage: Eukaryota; Viridiplantae; Streptophyta; Magnoliopsida; Fabales; Fabaceae. The record is from RNAcentral.